Halichondria panicea is the source of this 722-nucleotide long non-coding RNA. RefSeq lists it as uncharacterized. The transcript is spliced from 2 exons. The record is from RefSeq and is a predicted model, not a curated record. Lineage: Eukaryota; Metazoa; Porifera; Demospongiae; Suberitida; Halichondriidae.
AGACUACUUCAAGCCUAGUUUUUAGUGUCUAUCAGUUUAAAACGUUAUUUUUCAGGGGGGGUCAAAUUUUAUUUUCGCCAAUUUUGCUCAGAAGCAGAGAUACAAGUCUCAAAGCCAGCUACACAGUGACCUCGAAAACAAGCCGCUCAUGACAUCGAGGCUAGUACAAGAGCAAGACUUUUGAUUGUAUCUCUGCUUCUGAGCAAAGUUGGCGAAAAUAAAAUUUGACCCCCCCUGAAAAAUAACGUUUUAAACUGAUAGACACUAAAAACUAGGUUUGAAGUAGUCUGCAAGAGAAGUUUGGAUAAAUCCAAUUAUUGACCUUAAUUAGCUAAGGUCAAGUGGUUCCAGCCUCCUCUGCAAUGUAUUGCCCUAGAGAAUUCUGACACCAUACGUGUUGCAUUCCGCAAGUAUUGAUUGCGAUUGAUUGCGAGCCAGCUGGAAAGACAGAGAGGAAACUGAAGAAAACUGCAGGUACUCAGAACAUAGAGGAUCUGCCAAGACCCUUUGGAAAAGUUUGGCAUGCCAAUGACAGAGGGAAGGGAUACUGUUAUUGAUUACGAUUGAUCGUGCAAUCGCUGUGUAGUGCAUGACCUGAUGAUGGAAAUACACCACUACCUUAACCUCGUCAGACUUACAAAAAUUAUGUUUUGUGUUUGUAAACAUCAUCAUUUCUCCAUGCAUCCUUUGUGAUUGUGUGUAUCAUAAUGUUAAGAAAUAAG